AAUAUUGGACAAUGGGGGCAACCCUGAUCCAGCCAUGCCGCGUGUGUGAAGAAGGNCUNNGGAUUNUNAAGCACUUUAAGUUGNNNNNAAGGGCUUUAGGCUAAUACCCUGAAGAUUCGACGUUACCAACAGAAUAAGCACCGGCUAACAUUGUUCCAGCAGCCGCGGUAAUACAGAGGGUGCAAGCGUUAAUAGGAAUUACUGGGCGUACAAGGCGCGUAGGUUGUUCAGUAAGAUGGGUGUGAAAUCCCCGGGCUUAACCUGGGAACUGCUUUCAUAACUGCUGAGCUAGAGUACGGUAGAGGGUAGUGGAAUUUCCUGUGUAGCGGUGAAAUGCGUAGAUAUAGGAAGGAACACCAGUGGAGAAGGCGACUACCUGGACUGAUACUGACACUGAGGUGCGAAAGCGUGGGGAGCAAAC
Molecule: ribosomal RNA, 421 nt
Filed under: uncultured bacterium
Lineage: Bacteria
Description: partial 16S ribosomal RNA
Rfam family: Bacterial small subunit ribosomal RNA
Source: RNAcentral